GUGAGGAAUAUUGCGCAAUGGAGGCAACUCUGACGCAGCCAUGCCGCGUGCAGGAAGAAGGCGCUACGCGUUGUAAACUGCUUUUAACCGGGAAGAAACCCCAGGACGUGUCCUGGGUUGACGGUACCGGAGGAAUAAGCACCGGCUAACUUCGUGCCAGCAGCCGCGGUAAUACGAAGGGUGCAAGCGUUAUCCGGAUUCAUUGGGUUUAAAGGGUGCGUAGGCGGAGCGUUAAGUCAGUGGUGAAAUCCUGCAGCUUAACUGUAGACUUGCCAUUGAUACUGGCGCUCUUGAGUGCGGUUGAAGUGGGCGGAAUGUGUCGUGUAGCGGUGAAAUGCUUAGAGAUGGCACAGAACACCAAUUGCGAAGGCAGCUCACUAAGGCGAUACUGACGCUGAGGCACGAAAGCGUGGGGAUCGAACAGGAUUAGAAACCCCUGUAGUCC
This 445-nucleotide ribosomal RNA is filed under the name uncultured bacterium. Its description in RNAcentral is "partial 16S ribosomal RNA". It matches the Rfam family "Bacterial small subunit ribosomal RNA", at positions 354 to 796 of the family's 1533-position model. The record is from RNAcentral.